GAGCGGACAGAUACGAAUCGGUCGAGGGCUUCACCCGCAGGCAAGGUCAUUUCAUAGCAGUCACAAGGUACAUAAGGAAUGGAAGCGGAGUUUGGACCGAGUGAACACAUCUGCAGGCCGAAGGCCGAAGCCGUGUGAGCGAGGAACAAACGAAGCGAGGCGAAACAAAAUAUAGGUCUGGUGACCAUAGCGGAGGGGAAACACCCGUACCCAUCCCGAACACGGACGUGAAGACCUCCAGCGCCGAGAAUACUUGUCUCGAGAGGGACUGGGAAGGUAGGUCGUUGCCAGGC
RNAcentral lists this ribosomal RNA (293 nucleotides) under Alicyclobacillus sacchari. Lineage: Bacteria; Bacillati; Bacillota; Bacilli; Caryophanales; Alicyclobacillaceae. The record is from RNAcentral.